Molecule: ribosomal RNA, 409 nt
Filed under: uncultured bacterium
Lineage: Bacteria
Description: bacterial SSU rRNA
Rfam family: Bacterial small subunit ribosomal RNA
Source: RNAcentral
GUGUCAGCCGCCGCGGUAAUACGGAGGAUCCAAGCGUUAUCCGGAUUUAUUGGGUUUAAAGGGUGCGCAGGCGGGAGAUUAAGUCGGCGGUGAAAUUUUGCAGCUCAACUGUAAAAGUGCCUUCGAAACUGGUUUCCUUGAGUGUGGAUGAAGUAGGCGGAAUUUGUGGUGUAGCGGUGAAAUGCAUAGAUAUCACGAGGAACUCCGAUUGCGCAGGCAGCUUACUAAACCAUAACUGACGCUCAGGCACGAAGGCGUGGGGAUCAAACAGGAUUAGAUACCCUGGUAGUCCACGCAGUAAACGAUGAUUACUAGCUGUUUGCGAUACAAUGUAAGCGGCUGAGCGAAAGCGUUAAGUAAUCCACCUGGGGAGUACGUUCGCAAGAAUGAAACUUAAAGAAAUUGGCGG